This 240-nucleotide unclassified non-coding RNA is filed under the name soil metagenome. RNAcentral's name for it is "partial contains 5.8S ribosomal RNA, internal transcribed spacer 2, and large subunit ribosomal RNA". The record is from RNAcentral.
AACACUGUUAACCUGCGGUACCUGCGGAGGGAUCAUUACAGAGUGUAAAAACUCCCAAACCCCUGUGAACGUACCUGUCGUUGCUUCGGCGGAUCGCCCCGGGCGCUGCAAGGUGCCCCGGAGUCAGGCGCCCGCCGGAGGACCACAAACUCUUGUUUUAUACCGGAAUUCUCUGAGUGGCAUGUCUCAUGCAAAAACAAAAUGAAUCAAAACUUUUAGCAACGGAUCUCAGAUCGGAAG